This 495-nucleotide ribosomal RNA is filed under the name uncultured bacterium. RNAcentral's name for it is "partial 16S ribosomal RNA". It matches the Rfam family "Bacterial small subunit ribosomal RNA", at positions 30 to 507 of the family's 1533-position model. The record is from RNAcentral.
UGAACGCUGGCGGCGUGCCUAAUACAUGCAAGUCGAGCGAACAGACGAGGAGCUUGCUCCUCUGACGUUAGCGGCGGACGGGUGAGUAACACGUGGAUAACCUACCUAUAAGACUGGGAUAACUUCGGGAAACCGGAGCUAAUACCGGAUAAUAUAUUGAACCGCAUGGUUCAAUAGUGAAAGACGGUUUUGCUGUCACUUAUAGAUGGAUCCGCGCCGCAUUAGCUAGUUGGUAAGGUAACGGCUUACCAAGGCAACGAUGCGUAGCCGACCUGAGAGGGUGAUCGGCCACACCGGAACUGAGACACGGUCCAGACUCCUACGGGAGGCAGCAGUAGGGAAUCUUCCGCAAUGGGCGAAAGCCUGACGGAGCAACGCCGCGUGAGUGAUGAAGGUCUUCGGAUCGUAAAACUCUGUUAUUAGGGAAGAACAAAUGUGUAAGUAACUAUGCACGUCUUGACGGUACCUAAUCAGAAAGCCACGGCUAACUACGUG